AGUGAGUUGAAAAAAAUUUUGAAGAUCUGACAUGACAGCAUUCAACAUGAAAACACAUUUUGAGCUUUGUGGCUGCUUUACCAGUCUGGGCAACUUAAGUAAUUGACUGUUCAAAAUCACUGCAAUGGUCAGGUUUCCAUUACAAAUGUCUAUGUACAACAAUGAUUUAGAUUUGGAGUAGAUUCCCAAAAAUCCUGAAAACAAAAUACCCAAGUGAGAAGAUUUACGGUCAGUACAGAAGAUGAUGAAGAGUCUCCUUUCCCUCACCUUGACUGUCGUUAAGGUCCUUGUGCUUGAGAAUGAUUCAUGUGUGUCUAUUUGCUCAAUCAUUUGUCACUUACUUUUUUUCAUGCCCACAAGAUUAUAUCCGCUUCCACCAAACCGAUGAAAUUAGUCUGAGAAGAGCCAUUGGAAAAGAAAUUUGCUUCUUGUCCGCUGCCAUGAGAUCCAAAUCAUACAGUAUUGACAAUGACUGAUUGCACAAGGCUCAGUCGAACUGCGCGCAUGGGUAUAAUUUUCUUACUUUUGGUAUUUUGGUGGACUGGCGCAGUUAGAAAUGGGCGUUUGUGUUUUUUUGUAUCUUGAGUUCGCCUAAAAAGCUUGGUUUUGGAAUGUGCUGGGAAGUGGGAGAAAACUCGUGAUAGGAAAAUGCAGCUUCAAAUUUGCUUCAUGAAACAGCUGUUGUAUUUUUUGACUCGUCUUCAAAGCACUUUGUGUUCAAAAUUGGCUUGGAAACACAGUGGCUUGCUGUUUCUUAAACCCCUUAUUUAAAACCAACAGUGCCAUCGAGACAAGUAAAAAAACAACAACAACAAAAACAACUGGUUUAUGAAGCACAUUUGAAGCUUCAUUUUCCCAUCACGAGAGAAAACCACACAAACAAUGGAAGGCUCUGCAAACUCCACACAGAAAAACCUGAGCCGAGAUGUGAAGGCAAAACGGCUUGACUGUGAGGCGGACAUUUGUAAAUUUAAUGAAACAACUUUGACAUUUAGUCGAGACUACGAUUUCGACGAUCAACGAGCUGUCAAAAUCAAAAGGCCAUCUUCCAUUCCUUCUUCAUUAGAUAAUGUCGUAAAUGAUUGAUCUACGCUUUAGCACAUGUAACAGUCUUGUUAAUUAAGGGCUAAUGAUCCCAGCUUCAUAUUUCCAAGAGUAAAAUUUGUUUGUUUUAUUGCGUUUAGGCGAUGAUAAUAGUCUUGUGUUUGAUGAAAUGAAACACAAUGCGUCUCCCGCUUGCCAUGAUUCCCAUUGUGACUGGGUUGAAAUUGUGUGGCAGCUGCUGAGCCUUGAUCAUUUCAGGAAGAGAGAGACAGAGAGAGAGCGAGCGAAAGAGAGAAUGUGCAGGCUUCUCAUCAACCCUGUUCAGCCCCGUGCAAAUGAAGGCAACUGUUUUCCCUGCUGGGAUGAGGCGAGCCACCAUUACAAGGACUUCAUUUGCUGACCUCCGGGCCGGACAAGAACAAACAUCCACAUUGCAUUUAGAAGAUGAAGAAGAAGAAGCUCAUGUGUGCAUUUUACCAUCCCAUGUGCUGCCAUUGCAGCAGGAGUUGAAGAAAAUCAAUUGAGGUCACUGAAGGCGGAGUCUGCAUCAUCCGACUGGUAGAAUGGACUGGUGAUGUGGAGGUGCCUCAGAGGUGUAUUCACACUGCGACGGCUGACUUUGCGGUGUACAUUCCUAUCUUCUAGCUACCAUAUACUGUAUGUAUAGAUCUCUUGGGCCACUUCGUUCCAUCUCUGGUUCUUGUAAGAGGCAGGAGAUUGAGGAGUCACCACAGAAAGUAACUCACUGUAUGACGCAACCCUCCCAUUUAUCUGGGGCUUGGGGCUGCACCUCAUGAGCCGAUGAUGCCUGGGAAUCGAACCUGCAUUAAAGGCGGGAAGCAGCCAGACUCAUUUUUGAGCGCCAGAGGAAUGAAACGUAAGACAAAGGACUGCGUUACGUUUGAAGUCUGGAAAAUGCACAUUUAAACCAAAAGAAUGCUGCCAUUGGCUGAGACGUCAUUUUAAGGACGAUCAUAAUUAGAAUUUGCAAAUGUGACAAAUGAUAGAAAUACCUUUUUGUUUUGUUUUUUUUGUUUUGUUUUGUUUUUUGCAGGGGGGGUCAUGCUACCAUAGAACAACUGCACUGAGGAAAAAAUAUGAUGAGGAUGUAAUUUAAUCCAAUCCAUCAGUACAAUGAACUCCAUUGUGGCUGCAGUGUACAGUGUGGCUCGGUCAACAAUCUGUCGAUGCCACUAAAGUCAAGUUCAAACCACAGAUUUCUUUGGAGGUAACACCUGAAAACGUGCAGAGACUGACAACGGCGCCAUUCAGAAAUGAGCAUUUAAGCUAUUUUUCACCAGUUUUUUUGGGGGGGUGGGGGGGGGGUCCCAUGUAUUUUCCGUAGCCAAAAGGAUGAAUUAAAUUCAGACUGAGGUUGACCAAUUCGA
Hippocampus zosterae (dwarf seahorse) is the source of this 2432-nucleotide long non-coding RNA. RefSeq lists it as uncharacterized. The transcript is spliced from 5 exons. Lineage: Eukaryota; Metazoa; Chordata; Actinopteri; Syngnathiformes; Syngnathidae. The record is from RefSeq and is a predicted model, not a curated record.